AGGAUCUUCGGCAAAGUACUUCCAGGGUGAAGGAAUGAUCCCAAGAUCCACACCAAUUUCAUCAUACUCCUUCAAAGCCGCUUCCAUGUCUUCUUCAAUAGAAGCAUUAUCAAUCACAUCAAUCGCACCCGUGCGUAAAAGAUCAGCAUAGUGCAUCUCCCUUUCAGGAUCAUUCUGGAAAGACAUCAUGGCAGGGCCCUCACAUAACUCAGAAUAGUGUUUAUAUAUUUCACUGCUUUCAUCUUGAUCA
RNAcentral lists this unclassified non-coding RNA (250 nucleotides) under Hevea brasiliensis (rubber tree). Lineage: Eukaryota; Viridiplantae; Streptophyta; Magnoliopsida; Malpighiales; Euphorbiaceae. The record is from RNAcentral.